GUCCGUAGAAGAGAGAGACGCAGGAUUUAUGCAUAGCCUCUUCGUGGUCUCAAGCUGGACAUGAUACAUGUAACUUCCACUCAUGUUUCAUUGGUCAUAACGAAUGGCUUCAGAUCAUGGCUACACCUAACUGUACAAGGAGGAAAAUACAAGAAGAUUCAAUAUUGGAUUUUGACUCUCAUGAAUAAAGAACUCUGAACAUUCUUGGACCAAUAUUUUUGUGGACACAGAACAUGUUUUCAUUUCUCUCAGAUAAAUACAAAGAAGUGGAAUUCAUGGAUCAGAGAGUAAAAUUGGUGGACACCAAGGACCCAGGCAUACUAUCACCUCAGAAAAGCAAGAGCAACCUUCCCGGGCCAGAGAGUAGACUACAGUGCCUGGCAAGUAACCAGAGGAGGAAAAAAUACAAGAGUGUGUUUCACGGACCAGAUGGUGACAGAGCCAGCCUGGAGCCAUUUCAAGUCCUGCCCAAGUAGACUGCCUGGCAGUGCUUUUGGACUCAUGUGGAGCAAUGGAUGUGGACCUCAUCUUUGAGGAAUCUAGGGUGGGUGAAGCAGCCAGGUGAAGGCAAGGCAUUGCCCAUGUCAGAGGAGUUGUAGCUGGAGGGACCAGCAGAGAAUAUUCCAAACAACUUUGAAAGCAUCUACGAGGAAAGAGCUACUGCUGUCCAAUUGCCAGGUCCAGAGAGCAUGAAUCCAUUCACUCCAGCAGAAACUGCCUUUUCUCCUCCUCUUCUCCUUGGCAGCCCAUCCUCUCUGACUUUUAUGAGGUGUGGAGCAGCCGCUAGUGAGUGGGGGUGGAAAUGGAAGAGAAAGAGGACAGAAGCCAAACAUAGCCUUCUCUAAGGACAGCCUUCCACCUAGCCUGAGGUGAUGUUGGGAUGGGAGGAGUCUAGCCUUGAAGGAACAUUGAGAUGUGACUAGGACCUUGGGGGAGACACUUCUAGUAACUGAAUUGAGAUUGUGUUUUGUGAUUUAAUAUGGUUGUAGAACUACAGGAACUAAAUGAAAAAUUAUGGUUCCUAACAAUCUUUCAUCUUCCUCCUCUGAAUAAAUUUGGACA
Ailuropoda melanoleuca (giant panda) is the source of this 1062-nucleotide long non-coding RNA. RefSeq lists it as uncharacterized. The transcript is spliced from 3 exons. The record is from RefSeq and is a predicted model, not a curated record. NCBI's taxonomy places the organism in Eukaryota, Metazoa, Chordata, Mammalia, Carnivora, Ursidae.